RNAcentral lists this ribosomal RNA (203 nucleotides) under uncultured bacterium. RNAcentral describes it as "partial 16S ribosomal RNA". The stretch from base 30 to 203 matches the Rfam family "Bacterial small subunit ribosomal RNA", at positions 547 to 714 of the family's 1533-position model. The record is from RNAcentral.
UGACGGAGGAUCCCAAAGCGUUUGAUCCGGAAUUUAUUGGGUUUAAAGGGUGCGUUAGGCGGCCUAUUAAGAUCCAGGGGUGAAAGACGGUGGCUCAACCAUCGCAGUGGCCUUUGAUACUGAUAGGGCUUGAAUACACUAGAGGUAGGCGGAAUGUGACAAGUAGCGGUGAAAAUGCAUAGAUAUGUCACAGAACACCGGAU